This 483-nucleotide ribosomal RNA is filed under the name uncultured bacterium. RNAcentral's name for it is "partial 16S ribosomal RNA". It matches the Rfam family "Bacterial small subunit ribosomal RNA", at positions 29 to 506 of the family's 1533-position model. The record is from RNAcentral.
AUUGAACGCUGGCGGCAUGCUUUACACAUGCAAGUCGAACGGCAGCGCGGGCUUCGGCCUGGCGGCGAGUGGCGAACGGGUGAGUAAUGCAUCGGAACGUGCCCAGUAGUGGGGGAUAGCCCGGCGAAAGCCGGAUUAAUACCGCAUACGACCUGAGGGUGAAAGCGGGGGACCGAAAGGCCUCGCGCUAUUGGAGCGGCCGAUGUCGGAUUAGCUAGUUGGUGGGGUAAAGGCUUACCAAGGCGACGAUCCGUAGCUGGUCUGAGAGGACGACCAGCCACACUGGGACUGAGACACGGCCCAGACUCCUACGGGAGGCAGCAGUGGGGAAUUUUGGAAAAUGGGGGCAACCCUGAUCCAGCCAUGCCGCGUGCGGGAAGAAGGCCUUCGGGUUGUAAACCGCUUUUGUUCGGGAAGAAAUCCUCUGGGCUAAUACCCCGGGGGGAUGACGGUACCGGAAGAAUAAGCACCGGCGAACUACGU